UCUUACUUUCUUUCUUUUCUUGCUUUGUUUCUUUUACUGAAGAGAAUAAAAAAGUAUCUAUGAAAUCAUAGUAUUUGUGGUUUAGUUGCUUCUUGAAAUAGAGGCCGGGAAGCUCCCAGAGACACAGAUCUCCAUGUUGAAUCCUUAAACCUGGAAGUUCUUUUUUGCUCCUUCAAACCAUGGGGGUGCGGAAAUCGACCUCCCACUUCUGACCUCUGUGUGAGCCAGUUACACCGGCGACUGACCGUUUCUUGUGGGGUUUUCAUAACACAUAUGACAUGCUUUCAGUUUGUAUGGCAAUCGGCCAACCCUAGUAGGUGGAGUGGAAUCGAACCGAUGUUAAUCGGAAGGGUGGAUGCUGGGUACUGCUUGACCGUUCGGAUCUGCUAGGGAUGAAAGGGUGGGAUGUGCCGGCCCAAAAUCAAUCAUAAACAUUAUUGAUGGUUAUUUUACAUGACAUUUGAUCAUCGUCUCAAAUAAAUUAUCAAUGUUUCCAUCAAUAUCAAUCAAGACAGGCUGGUUGGUUUUUGGCUUUUUAUACCGGAAAAUAUUCUGGUAGAAAUAAAAAUAAGAUCAAAAUAUAAAGGAAUAAAAAAUCGAAUUACAAAUAAGAUCAAGUUAUAAUAGAAGGAGAUCAAAAUUGAUAGAAUUAUCGGGAAAACAUUGAUUUUUGAGAAAAAUGACAAUCACCAAUCUUUAGAAGGACUUUUCGUCAAGCAUGUAUUACGAGUCGAACCAACCACCUCGCUCAUGUUUCAUAUUUGGUUGAACCCAUUGGCAUCUGGAUUGUAAUGUCUUUUCGUGACCUUA
Vitis riparia (riverbank grape) is the source of this 810-nucleotide long non-coding RNA. RefSeq lists it as uncharacterized. The transcript has 2 exons. The record is from RefSeq and is a predicted model, not a curated record. Lineage: Eukaryota; Viridiplantae; Streptophyta; Magnoliopsida; Vitales; Vitaceae.